GCUGUUGUGGCUUAGCUGGUCAUAGCACCUUUCUUGCAAGCAAGAGGUCUUGGGUUCAAAUCCCAGCAGUGCCU
This 74-nucleotide transfer RNA is filed under the name Danio rerio (zebrafish). It matches the Rfam family "tRNA". Rfam says of the family: Transfer RNA (tRNA) molecules are approximately 80 nucleotides in length. Their secondary structure includes four short double-helical elements and three loops (D, anti-codon, and T loops). Further hydrogen bonds mediate the characteristic L-shaped molecular structure. tRNAs have two regions of fundamental functional importance: the anti-codon, which is responsible for specific mRNA codon recognition, and the 3' end, to which the tRNAs corresponding amino acid is attached (by aminoacyl-tRNA synthetases). tRNAs cope with the degeneracy of the genetic code in two manners: having more than one tRNA (with a specific anti-codon) for a particular amino acid; and 'wobble' base-pairing, i.e. permitting non-standard base-pairing at the 3rd anti-codon position. The record is from Rfam by way of RNAcentral. Lineage: Eukaryota; Metazoa; Chordata; Actinopteri; Cypriniformes; Danionidae.